UUCUAUUUCUUCUCUUGUUUGAGCCAUCAGACAGUGUAAGCUAAAAAUCACCUCAAUUCAAUCCUCUCUUACAGAUGCAGAAAAAGGCCCUUGGAGGCCUCAAGGUGCCUGUGGUGACAGCCCAGUGUUCCUGACCCUCAGGGCUUGAAGACCGGUCUCAGCUGCGAUGCAGAGGGGCACAGUGGCACUGGACCUUGGCUGGACACAUCUUAACUGUGGCUUCCAGCCCACAGAGCACUUGCAACCAGCCAGGCACUGAGCUGACAGACAGCAUUAUGAACGCCAGCUCACUGAAUCUACCCUAUCAGCCCUCCAAGACUCAGGCCUGUGCUCCUCUGGUGACAGGACCCCACACCCAGCCCCACCAGGCCCACUCACAGAUGACUAUGAGGAUCAUACAGAAGAGCUGAAUGCCUGAGCCCAGGAGGGAGCUGAGGAUCAUGGGGUACUGGGG
Molecule: long non-coding RNA, 454 nt
Organism: Felis catus (domestic cat)
Lineage: Eukaryota; Metazoa; Chordata; Mammalia; Carnivora; Felidae
Exons: 3
Source: RefSeq, a predicted model, not a curated record